AUUUUGGACAAUGGGCGAAAGCCUGAUCCAGCCAUGCCGCGUGUAUGAAGAAGGCCUUCGGGUUGUAAAGUACUUUUGUUAGGGAAGAAAAGCUUGUUGCUAAUAUCAGCAAGUCAUGACGGUACCUAAAGAAUAAGCACCGGCUAACUACGUGCCAGCAGCCGCGGUAAUACGUAGGGUGCAAGCGUUAAUCGGAAUUACUGGGCGUAAAGCGAGCGCAGGCGGUUAUUUAAGUCAGGUGUGAAAGCCCCGAGCUCAACUUGGGACGUGCAUUUGAAACUGGAUAACUAGAGUGUGUCAGAGGGGGGUAGAAUUCCACGUGUAGCAGUGAAAUGCGUAGAGAUGUGGAGGAAUACCGAUGGCGAAGGCAGCCCCCUGGGAUAACACUGACGCUCAUGCUCGAAAGCGUGGGUAGCAAAC
RNAcentral lists this ribosomal RNA (420 nucleotides) under uncultured bacterium. RNAcentral describes it as "bacterial SSU rRNA". It matches the Rfam family "Bacterial small subunit ribosomal RNA", at positions 361 to 773 of the family's 1533-position model. The record is from RNAcentral.